UCUGUGGAUCAUCCCACAAGCACUUGAUCAGUUUGGGAUCUAGGGAAUUUGGAGGCCAGGUCAACGCCUUGUGACCCUACCAGGUCCAAGAGUUUCCCAGCAGAACACUGAAUUAUUACAAGAUGCUCAAUCUUAUUCACUCCAGUCAGUGGUCAUAAUGUUCUGACUGAUCGGUGUAUAUUUCAUAUAUUGCAUGAGUUUUAGUUUUCAUUAGUACUUCUAAGAUCUUGUUUCCAAUUUUGUCAUUUCCUUCCUAGAUCUACCGAUCAGGCAGCUGUGGAGGACCCGGUGUACAGCAGGGUUGACAAAAACCACAGAGUGUGAAGACAUCACGGUUCUGCAGAGCUCAUUAGGCUCACCUGGGCAGGAGACUGGUGGGACCACCUGAUCCAGCUGCAGCCAAUCACCAAUCAGUGCUCUUUAAAAGGAUCGCUGUGACUUCCCUCCAGUGACGCAUAAUUUCACAUUACUUGGUCUGUGCCAGCAUUUGAACUGAAAGUUUAGAGAGGGAAACCUCCUGUUGUGAGAAUUUGUUCAGUUUCUGUGUCUUUUUCUUCUUUGUGUGAUUUCCUUCCCUGGAGUUUUCAACUCCUGUAGUUUGCCUUCUUGAAUUUUUGUUUUUGUAUUCUCCUGCUUAGUUGUUGUAAUAAACUGGAUUUGUUAACUUUA
This is a long non-coding RNA of Mugil cephalus (flathead mullet), 669 nucleotides long. RefSeq lists it as uncharacterized. The record is from RefSeq and is a predicted model, not a curated record. NCBI's taxonomy places the organism in Eukaryota, Metazoa, Chordata, Actinopteri, Mugiliformes, Mugilidae. The transcript has 2 exons.